AGUGAGGUCUUUGGACCGGCGCGCGGAGCUCCUUCGGGAAUUUCGAUGCCGCUGGGAAGAUGACCAAACUUGAAUAUUUAGAGGAAGUAAAAGUCGUAACAAGGUUGCUGUAGGUGAACCUGCAGCAGGAUCAUUA
Molecule: ribosomal RNA, 136 nt
Filed under: Thrips tabaci
Lineage: Eukaryota; Metazoa; Arthropoda; Insecta; Thysanoptera; Thripidae
Description: partial 18S ribosomal RNA
Rfam family: Eukaryotic small subunit ribosomal RNA
Source: RNAcentral